UGUGCUCGCAUCGGGCGUUUUAAUUGCACUGGCUUAGACUUACCUUGACUUAGCGCGCUAAUGGUGGUCUUAUCAAGAAGAAACCUUCGAUACCGCGCAGUCACUCGACACGCCGUGUUGCUACGAACGAGGCUUUUAGACUAAACAAGGCUAAGUAUCUUUCGAAACGAAGAUACAUUUUAUUCUAUCGAUUAUACUCUUUUUAAUUUUAGGUAUACGUGGAGGGAUUGUGAGUAAUUACGCUAAUUGCCAACUCCCGUUGCCACCGCAGGGUUGGUAAGCUCCUAACGGGACUGAAAAAGCGAAACGUCGAUCGUUCUUUUCCCACCCUAAUCCGAUUCGACCAACUACAACCAACUACCUCAAAUUUGACUUCCCGAUCUAUUUCGACACGUUCUCCACGCCAAUUUGCUGGUUCAAAUUUAACCGGAAACUCUUAUCUUAAGGUUAACCCCUUUCUAAAUCCUGCGGUCACUAAAUUUAUUCAAAACCCAGUUUUCAGAAUCAAAGUUACUUAGGUUUAUGCCAUCUGAUCAUUCCAGUGCGUUGUAAGUAACACCCAGUUUGCGUAAUUGGGUUACAAACCCGACAAAAUGUGGUUGGGAUUUCGUACGAAAUGUUGGUUGUUUCUCUUGACCAGACAGAUAAAAAACAGCUAAAUUUAGGUGGGGUCAAGGUUGUGCGACGAAUCAGAAAUUUGAUUGGGGUUUCAAAUGACAUUUUAAAGUCCGACACUCUCUAUAUGUUUCUUACCCUAAUUUUAAUAUAGGUAUGUCUUCAGUUGUGGUUAAAAUAUGACUGACCCUAUCCAAGUCAAAACAUCAACUCCACAUAUCUAUAAUAAAAAUUAUAUUAAAGUGA
Molecule: long non-coding RNA, 861 nt
Organism: Zophobas morio
Lineage: Eukaryota; Metazoa; Arthropoda; Insecta; Coleoptera; Tenebrionidae
Exons: 3
Source: RefSeq, a predicted model, not a curated record